GUCCUGGUGCGGCCUCUGAUUGGGGCUGCCUAGUCGCUCGGGCCUCUGAUUGGUCGAGCAGAAAGGGCGUGUGGGCGGAGGGACUGUGGGCUGGGGCCGGUCUGCGGGUGGAUGUCCUAUUUUCAGGAUCUCUGGCAGCUGAGUGUCGCAGCUUCUGUCGCCGAAACGGGAACCGUACAAGCUAUCCGUGAUGAAACAAGUUUGUCAAAUGCGCAACACGGGGAGGAAAACAGUCUCUUCGAUCCGCGUGGUUCGGCGGAAAAGCAGAUGGAUUUACAGUCACAGGCCAUAGAUGUAGUUUGGCUCCAAGAAGACUCUGGAGAAGGACAGAGCUAAGACUCCUAAAGAGCUGCCAACACUACGAUGUUCAUAUUUGUUUUGUACCCAGUCCAAACACCUCACCAUAUCCCCAUCCCUGAUAAAAAGAAAAUGCCAUGACUCUCCUGUUUUGGAAGCUGCUGCCAAGACAGUUGGCAAUAAAGGAACUUAUUGUGUAGACUGCUGCUAACCUUUUUGGUUCAAUAAAUAAAUAUGUUGUGAUAUUUUAAACUGCUGACCUCUGCAUCCACGCUUAUUUAAUAAGUGUAUAUUGAAGGUUGCCCUGUAUGUGGCAGUGUCUAUAGUGAAUAAAGUGCUCGGCUGGGAGUUAAGACUUGAGUUCAAAUUCUGCCCCAAACCCUAGUUUUGAACCCUAAACAACUCAUUUCACAGUGUAAAGGGCAUCCGGAAAGUCAGAAAAGCUCAUCUUACUGAGUUCAAAUUUGCUCCAGAGAUUGUGACCCUGGGCAAGUCACUAACCCUGUUGCCUUAGUUUCCACAUCUGUAAAAUAAACUGGUGAAGGAAACGGUUCACCACUCUAGUAUCUCUGCCAAGAAAACCUCAAAUGGAGUAAGAAUUGGACAUGACUGAAAAUCAUCUAGCAACAAACAAAACAAAGUAAAGAUCACAGUGGUGCUUUUCCCAUAGGGUAGUUGUGUGAGUCAAAUAAAGUAAUUCAUGAUGUGAUUUGGAAGCUUUCAAUGCUACAUAAAUGUGACCUCUCUCAGUUGACCCAGUCAGAAGAGUAACCUGUUGACUCACAUGCUAUUUUUACUAAAGAAAUGAGCUAUCUUGUUUCUUUUUAUUGGGAGCUUGUGAUUUUUGACAUGAACAACUUCAUACAUAGUAUAUACAUGUUAAGUGAACCCAAUCAUUGUGUAAACUAGACUGGAAGCAGAUGAAUGCUUUUACAAAUUGUUUGCUGAAGAUGAAAAUUUACUAAUAAAGGACUUCUGUGGAAGAAGAAGACAAUUUCAAUAGUCCAAGUGAAAAUGGCUGAUGGCUAAUACUAGAUUCAUGUCUGCAUGAGAUUGUUUUCAAGAGGUAUUGUGAAAGUAGAAAUAAGAUUUGGCAACAAAUUAGAUAUAAGUUGUUGAUAAAGUGAGGAGUUAAGGAUGGCACUGAGGUUGUAAGUCCAGAUGAUCAGGAAGAAGAGGUAUCCUUGAUAGUAAUAAGGGAGUUGGGAAGAAAUUGGGUUUUGGACAUGUUGAAUUUGUGAUGCUCACAGACAUCUAACUUGAACUAUUCCCUAAGCGCUUGGCGGUGCAGGAUUGUAUCUCAGGAGAGACAAAGAUUGAAUAAGUAGAUCUGGAAAUCUUCAGUAUGAUGAUGACAGUUAAAUGCUUGGGAGCUGAUAAGAUCACCAAAAUAAUGUAGAUGGAGAAGAGAAGAGGCUCUGAUUCAGAGCGGUGGGGUACAUCCACAAUUGGUGGGCUUGACACAGCUGAAGAGUCAGCAAGGAGAACUGAAAAAUGAUCAUUUAGGAAAGGGGGGAGAGGACCAGGAGGGAACAAUGUACUGAAAACUUAGAGAAAAAAAGAGUAUUCAGGAGGAAGUGGUGAUCAAUGGUAUCAAAAGCUCUAUAAAAAAGUGAUCAAGAAGGAUGAAGAUUGGGAAAAGGCCAAUGGAUUUGGCAAAAAAGAGAUCACUGGUAAUUUGGAAGAGGAUACUUUCAGUGAAAAGAUAAAUUAGACUUCAGAGAAUUUAAAGGUAAGGGAGAGGAGAU
RNAcentral lists this long non-coding RNA (2045 nucleotides) under Sarcophilus harrisii (Tasmanian devil). RNAcentral's name for it is "lncRNA (ENSSHAG00000028241.1)". Lineage: Eukaryota; Metazoa; Chordata; Mammalia; Dasyuromorphia; Dasyuridae. The record is from RNAcentral.